UACGUAGGUGGCAAGCGUUGUCCGGAUUCACUGGGUGUAAAGGGUGCGCAGGCGGAUUUGUAAGUCAGAGGUGAAAUCUCACGGCUUAACCGUGAAACUGCCUUUGAUACUGCGGAUCUUGAGUUAGAGAGAGGUUGAUGGAAUUCCAGGUGUAGCGGUGAAAUGCGUAGAUAUCUGGAGGAACACCGGUGGCGAAGGCGGCAUCCUGGACCGGUAUUGACGCUGAGGCGCGAAAGCCAGGGGAGCAAACGGG
RNAcentral lists this ribosomal RNA (253 nucleotides) under uncultured bacterium. Its description in RNAcentral is "partial 16S ribosomal RNA". It matches the Rfam family "Bacterial small subunit ribosomal RNA", at positions 524 to 776 of the family's 1533-position model. The record is from RNAcentral.